GUUUGUUUUUACCGGUAAGCUCGCCACUGUUCAGUUGGAUUUGGAACGGUAACGUUGCACCAUACACGUUGUUUGUUGUUUGCAAUUAAUUUUUUUUUAGUUGGAUGAAAUUUGUUUUAAGUUUUUAUGGAUGUUGAACCACUUAUUUGUGCAGUGAGAGCAAGAAGGGCUCUAGGCUAUGGGAUGCAUCUUCACAGCAACAGAGACCGAUCGAUGAAACUGUGGAAUGAAAUCUCACUCGAACUGGGAAUUGAAUAAUUUAUCUUCGAACUCAGAAAAAAUGUGCUUAAGGCCUGCCCAGUAACCUGGAGUAAAUUCUCAACCCUCUGUACUUCUCUACCAUCUGAAAGGCUACACCUAGUUCUUACGUCAUUGAGCAGCUGUCUCCUUAUUUCCGACUCGUCCACGUCCGAGCUGUCGGGACUGUCUUGGGCCUGAGGACGCUGUACCGGGGG
Long non-coding RNA from Homalodisca vitripennis (glassy-winged sharpshooter), 455 nucleotides. RefSeq lists it as uncharacterized. NCBI's taxonomy places the organism in Eukaryota, Metazoa, Arthropoda, Insecta, Hemiptera, Cicadellidae. The record is from RefSeq and is a predicted model, not a curated record. The transcript is spliced from 3 exons.